AAGGUGCCCGGAAGUUGGGUCUGAAGGUUCACAUCGUGAAUAUCGAUCGUGUUGACACGUGUACUGUGGUAGGUGAGAUUCGUCGGAAUCAGAUAGCGGAGUAGCGGACUGUCGGACGGAGGAACCGGGGACUGAGUUGUGCAGGAUGGCAGUUUCUGGGCACCCAGAACUAGGUUUAGGUGCCCGAAUCUUGGAUUUUUUGCAGAGAAA
This 210-nucleotide long non-coding RNA is filed under the name Ananas comosus (pineapple). RNAcentral's name for it is "long non-coding RNA (ACOM_LNC028170)". Lineage: Eukaryota; Viridiplantae; Streptophyta; Magnoliopsida; Poales; Bromeliaceae. The record is from RNAcentral.